RNAcentral lists this ribosomal RNA (550 nucleotides) under Bacillus subtilis. Its description in RNAcentral is "bacterial SSU rRNA". It matches the Rfam family "Bacterial small subunit ribosomal RNA", at positions 953 to 1503 of the family's 1533-position model. The record is from RNAcentral. Lineage: Bacteria; Bacillati; Bacillota; Bacilli; Caryophanales; Bacillaceae.
GAAGCAACGCGAAGAACCUUACCAGGUCUUGACAUCCUCUGACAAUCCUAGAGAUAGGACGUCCCCUUCGGGGGCAGAGUGACAGGUGGUGCAUGGUUGUCGUCAGCUCGUGUCGUGAGAUGUUGGGUUAAGUCCCGCAACGAGCGCAACCCUUGAUCUUAGUUGCCAGCAUUCAGUUGGGCACUCUAAGGUGACUGCCGGUGACAAACCGGAGGAAGGUGGGGAUGACGUCAAAUCAUCAUGCCCCUUAUGACCUGGGCUACACACGUGCUACAAUGGACAGAACAAAGGGCAGCGAAACCGCGAGGUUAAGCCAAUCCCACAAAUCUGUUCUCAGUUCGGAUCGCAGUCUGCAACUCGACUGCGUGAAGCUGGAAUCGCUAGUAAUCGCGGAUCAGCAUGCCGCGGUGAAUACGUUCCCGGGCCUUGUACACACCGCCCGUCACACCACGAGAGUUUGUAACACCCGAAGUCGGUGAGGUAACCUUUUAGGAGCCAGCCGCCGAAGGUGGGACAGAUGAUUGGGGUGAAGUCGUAACAAGGUAGCCGA